This is a long non-coding RNA of Dermochelys coriacea (leatherback sea turtle), 5110 nucleotides long. RefSeq lists it as uncharacterized. Lineage: Eukaryota; Metazoa; Chordata; Testudines; Dermochelyidae. The transcript has 2 exons. The record is from RefSeq and is a predicted model, not a curated record.
AUGGCAGCUGUUUACAACAAGCAUCUGCUAACUGGACUGAGAAAAAACAUGAGAGGUGACAACUGCAUAUGUUCAUUACCCUGAAGCUAUUAGCCUAUAUCAUAUGUUGCCACGUUGCCAUGGAUCCCUUUUGAAAACAACUGCACUUCUUUUUUGGUUGUUUUCAAACGUCUCAGGCUCAAGCGCAGAAUAUUAACACAUAAGGAAGAGAAAGAGCUAAGACUCUGCAACAUUUAGGCUUUAUUACUUCCUCUACGUAUGCACAGUCUUCUCUCAUUGAGCACUUUCUGAAAAUAGAGUUCUCAAUGAGUAUGUCUACACAGCAGCUGGUAGAUGCAAUUCCCAGCUGUGGUAGAUGUACAUGCACUAACUCUGCUCAAGUUAGCACCAAAAAAUAGUAGUGAGGCUGUGGCGGCAAGGGUAGUGUCUUGGGCUACCCACCCAAGUACGUAGCCAGGGGGUCAGGAGGGAUAAUACUCAAAUGGCAGCUCAGAUAGCCGCUCAUGUUGCUACACCUAUACUGCUAUUUUGAGGCAAUAGCUCAAGCAGAGUUAGCAUAUAUACCAGGUGGUGUCCAAACUGUGGCUUGUGAGCUGCAUAUGGCUCUUUGACUGUUAAAGUGUGGCUCUCAGAGCCCCCUGUGAACCCCCAUUCUCGACCUGCCAGACUGGUCGGGGACAGCUCGGGGCUUCUGCCUGCAGCGAGGUGGUUGGGCUAGGGGCUUCUUCUGUCCAUCUGUGCGGGGGGGUCUCAGGGCUUCAGUCACAGGAGUGGGGCUGAAGUCCCGAGCCCCAGUCGGCACCUCCCAUGGGGCUGAAGCCCCGAGACCCCCUGCAGCCCUGGGCAGAAGUUCCUAGCCCCACCACCGGGCUGAAGCCGGGAGCCCCAGAAGGUGCACCCUGGCUCUUGAACUUCUGAAGGUUGUCGUAUAUGGCUCGGAGGCUCAGGAAGUUUAGCCACCCCGACACAUACAUUUCCCUGAGUGGGAAUUACACCUCCUAACUUCCAUGUAGACAUGCCCUACGACAUUACCCUAUAUCUAGGCAUACUAUCAUCCUGUAAACACCCCUUACUAGGAAACUAUCUAUCAUAACACAGCCGUAAGCACAGAAUGGUUUAAAAGAAAAUUUGCUUUUAAAUAUAUUAAUGAACUCCAUGUGGUUGCAUUAGCAACAGAAACUUCUUAAAGGUUGCAGACUGUAGGCCUGAGCUUAUACCACUGAAGUCUAUACGAGUGGUUUUUUUUCUCCAUAGACUUCAAUGGGAGCAGGAUCACAAUCCUCUAUUCUCAGUGCACUCUGCAUGAAAGUUGGAGGGGAACUGGAUUAUUGCUGCAUUAUUCUACCGUAGAGGAGUGGAAGACACUUGCUAGCAUCAGCAGCUGGAAUGAGCAGUUGUAAGAAAAGUCCUGUACAGCUCCAACUUGAAGCAUGCUCAUUGUGGACAGAAUCUUCAGAGAAUUUAGCUGCAAAACUCUAACAGGUGUCUACUGAGCAUGUGUGAAUUGUGGUUUCCAGAGGCUCAUAAUUUGGCUAGGUGUGGGUGGAUUUUCUGGGGGGACAUUAAAAGGCACAUCCUUCCAUAAGUAGUGUGACACACACACACACACGCUAAAUUUCAAAUUGCUGCUUCAAAGCAUGAAGGCACUAGCGCUUUUCCAUGAAACAAUUGCAUGCAUUUUUUUAAAAACAUAGACUAAACAAUGCAUUAUUCCCUAAUUUCAUUCUUCAAUACCACUGAAGCAUUUUACCUGAAACUUAAAAAUAGUUUCUGGCAGACACCUACCCAUGAAACAUUUCAGACCAAACAGUUAAAAUUUGGCAAAAAUUAUAAGCAACUGAAGACAGAGUCUCAUAACAGGAAAUGUUAGGCAACCUUACUGUAGGUGCACUAUCAUUUCUGCCUCUAUGAAUAAGAAUGAAAAUAAUCUGGUUAAGAAGUUUCAACCCCAUCUCAAAAAUAAGGAGAUUUAAUAUCAGAAACUGUUUUUCAGGUAUUGUUGUUCCAUGUAUAUUUAUUUAACUACAGCCAUUCCAAGUUGACUCUAGUCUAAUCAACUCCUUGUCUGCUUCCUCCACCAGCAGCAGGACUAGCCCAUGUCAGAAAACAUGGCUAUCAUUUGUGAAGGCAAGUGCCAAACUGCAAACAGUUUUAAUUCACACUACUGAAAGCAGUGACUGUAUAUGCAAAAUAUGACAUCUGAGAAGUAUAUAACAUUUGCCUUGUAGAAGGACUUGCCAAGUAAGAGAGGAGAUAAAUGAGCAACUAGACUAAUGGAAAUAACAGACUUAAAACUGAAAGGGACAGAAACCAAACAGAGUACAGCACCUAAGAUAUAUUUGAAGAAAUGUACUAAGAAUGGAAAACAUCUAGCAGAGAGAGUCAGUGAAGCAUGUAGUAAUACAAUUAAUUAUCUGGAGAGCUAGUUGAACAAGUUGUAAGAAAUUAGUGAAAUGAAUAAUAAUUAGGAACACCUGAUAACUAGUAAAAUAGUGUUUAGAGGGAAAAAAUAGAAUCUUGCAGUGCUAUUAUCUUAUUCUAUUAUGCUAUUAUGUUGGACUCCCUCUGGGUGUUGUUUUCUGUUCUGUUUUCAUUCCAUCACCUCCAACCACCUACUUCUAUGCUGGAUGCAAGCAGAUGUUCUUAGAAAUGUAGAUCUCUGGAGCUACCUGUGAUAGUCUGUCCACCUUUUUUCCCCCCUCUCAGUUGCAACUUUCCCAGCCCCCACAUUGUCAGGAUGUUUAGCCCUCAUUAGCGGAGUUAGUUGCUUGUGAACUUUUCUGCCUAAUUGUCAAAAAGAUUUUAUGUUUUUAAAAACAGCGGUAGUCAUAGUUCAGACAGUUACAAGUACAUGCUAUAACAGAUCAAAUAAGAAGUAAAAAUCUUGAUCAAGCCAGAGGACACAUGAGAGAAGUACUACCUGAGUUUUCAUUAAACAGAUCUGCUGUAUAUAUAGAUCCUUAUGUGUGUAUGAGGGAUUCAAAGAAGCCACAUUUUCCCACCUGAAAAUUCCCUUGUCACUGAUGCUAAUCUGAUUUAGUGAACCCCAUCCCCACCUGCAGCUCCCGCUUUUGUGCAGGUGGGGAAGCAAAGCUACAGGACAGUGCCCUUCAGCUAUACCCAGCUGGUGUGCAUUAAAAUCACCACCACCAGGGUUUAGGGUGAGGUCAAUCUGCCCUGAGAAUUAUGGAGCCAUGACUACUCUCACCUCUUCCUCUCUCUUUGCUGUGCCAAAUGAAUCUGUGCCACAGUCCAUCUUAGAAACUCAUAUGGCCUCAUUACUGUAAUAUCUUAGUAUCUCACAAUCUUUAAUGUAUUUUAUCCUCACAACCCCCUGUGAGAUAGGGAAGUGUUAUUAUCCUCAUUUCAUAGGUAGGGAACUGAGGUACAGAGAGAUUAAGCGACUUGCCCAAGGUGACACAGGAAGUCUGUAAUGGAGCAGGGAAUUGAACCCCAUUCUCCUGUAUUCCAAUUUAGUGCCCUAACUAUUGGACAAUCUGAUAUAACUGGCUGAGGAAAGGUAUCAGACAGCAUCAUCUAUUGUCCCUCAAUGUAGUUGCAAUCCAAGAUUCUAUAUGGCUGGAGCUGAUUAAAGUACAAAAGAAACAGGCUAAACCUCAAGAUGCUUAUAACCCCUGCUGAAUUGCCAUGGGAAUCUUAUAACUGUGAUGCUGGAAAACCAGCUAAACUGUAUAUGAUCCUUAGAGGCUUAACAAGUGGCACUUCAGUUGUAAUCAGGACAAUUCACUUGUGUGUGGGUAUCAAAGAAAUGUUAAGUAGACCAGCAAUCACUAUCCCAUUCAUUUGUAGUAAUAGGAAUCAAGAGUAGAUGCGAAGUGUGUUUGUCUGUGUGCCUAUGUCUUGUUUGAAGUUUACUAAUGUCAUCAAAUUAGCUUUUAGAUACUAAAUCCUUUUUAUGUCUUAAUUGUCUUUACAUUAUAUAUGCGGCUCUGUUCAGUCAACCUUAAGAUCAAAGAUGUAUAAACACUGCAUGAACUAAUGAUAUUACUUAUAUUGUCUUCAUCUUAUCUAUUCCUAUUAUAACAAGUGACCAGCAAUUGCUUUAUGUAAAUCAGUGUAGAGGAAUUGCCUGUGUAUGCAUAGGAAAUAUUAUGUUAACUUAAAAGGAUGAGUCCUUGUGGGCUCAAUAAAGAGGAAUCUUUGAACACAUGUUGUGCUCAAGAAACUUGGUAGCUUGUUUCAACUAUAAAAAAGAGGCGUUGGGUAUGAUCCUGUAAUCUCUAGUCUGCUGAACUUUUAAACAGGGAAAGUUUAAGCCAUGAGAUGGAGAUCUCCAAGAAACUACUUGGAUUGCCCUGGAUAAUUCAUGGAAGGCCUCUAAUAGACUCUACAUCUAAGAUGUUUUUUGGACUCUAAUCUUUUUGGGUGAUCCAGAGAGACUCAUUGCAGGCUAGCAGAUUUAACAUUACUGCUAUUAUCCGGAUCUACAAACUCUGAAAUUAACCGUAAUGUAUAUGAUUCAUUUUAACCUCUUAAUAACUCUUCCCUUUUUAUUUUAAUAAAGGUUUAUGUUUUAAUUAUUAAAGGAUUGGCUAUCAGUGUGAUUUGGGGGUAAAAUCUGAAGUAUAUUUUAACCUGGGGUGUGUCUGAGCCUUUGUGAUUGGAAGAACUUUAUAUGUGAUUUCUGGUUUUAAUAAUUAUUUAUCACAGAAAUCUGGUUGUCUGGGUGGUAAACCGGGGACUGUGUUUGGGCUUCUUGUUAACCAGUGGUGAUGCAGGAGCUCACUUUUGUUACUGGCUUGGUGAAAUCUAAUUCUAGAAUAGGCCACCAGUUUUGGAUUGUUUCUUACAGUCUGCCCUGAAUUUGGCCUUCUCAUGGGUGACCCAUACCAGCAUGGCAAUAACAAAGGGAGUCACCUCACUAAUAUAGUGAAGGGAGAUACCCUGUUGAGAAGAGGCUAUUGAAGAGGAAUUACAUCCUUUGGAAUUUUGAUAAUCCAAAUAAAUUAAACUGGACAAAACCUUCAGUUUCAGGCAUUUCCACUUCUGAAGCCUCAGCUUCCAAGGCAUGAGUGUCCAUUGACUUCCUCCACAAAUGAUUUUCAACACUGUUAAAAUUAUAGAUUUGGGGUACUUCUGGUGGAUGAAA